CACUCCUGCGGGAGGCAGCAGUGGGGAAUAUUGCACAAUGGGCGCAAGCCUGAUGCAGCCAUGCCGCGUGUAUGAAGAAGGCCUUCGGGUUGUAAAGUACUUUCAGCGGGGAGGAAGGUGUUGAGGUUAAUAACCUCAGCAAUUGACGUUACCCGCAGAAGAAGCACCGGCUAACUCCGUGCCAGCAGCCGCGGUAAUACGGAGGGUGCAAGCGUUAAUCGGAAUUACUGGGCGUAAAGCGCACGCAGGCGGUCUGUCAAGUCGGAUGUGAAAUCCCCGGGCUCAACCUGGGAACUGCAUUCGAAACUGGCAGGCUAGAGUCUUGUAGAGGGGGGUAGAAUUCCAGGUGUAGCGGUGAAAUGCGUAGAGAUCUGGAGGAAUACCGGUGGCGAAGGCGGCCCCCUGGACAAAGACUGACGCUCAGGUGCGAAAGCGUGGGGAGCAAACAGGAUUAGAAACCCCUGUAGUCCCAUG
This 474-nucleotide ribosomal RNA is filed under the name uncultured organism. RNAcentral describes it as "partial 16S ribosomal RNA". It matches the Rfam family "Bacterial small subunit ribosomal RNA", at positions 334 to 799 of the family's 1533-position model. The record is from RNAcentral.